CAGUCGCCGCGGUAAUACCGAGGGUGCGAGCGUUAAUCGGAUUUACUGGGCGUAAAGCGUGCGUAGGCGGCUUUUUAAGUCGGAUGUGAAAUCCCUGAGCUUAACUUAGGAAUUGCAUUCGAUACUGGGAAGCUAGAGUAUGGGAGAGGAUGGUAGAAUUCCAGGUGUAGCGGUGAAAUGCGUAGAGAUCUGGAGGAAUACCGAUGGCGAAGGCAGCCAUCUGGCCUAAUACUGACGCUGAGGUACGAAAGCAUGGGGAGCAAACAGGAUUAGAUACCCCUGUAGUCCCUGUCUCUUAUAU
RNAcentral lists this ribosomal RNA (301 nucleotides) under uncultured bacterium. RNAcentral's name for it is "partial 16S ribosomal RNA". It matches the Rfam family "Bacterial small subunit ribosomal RNA", at positions 509 to 809 of the family's 1533-position model. The record is from RNAcentral.